RNAcentral lists this ribosomal RNA (856 nucleotides) under Streptomyces violascens. Its description in RNAcentral is "bacterial SSU rRNA". It matches the Rfam family "Bacterial small subunit ribosomal RNA", at positions 48 to 918 of the family's 1533-position model. Lineage: Bacteria; Bacillati; Actinomycetota; Actinomycetes; Kitasatosporales; Streptomycetaceae. The record is from RNAcentral.
UUAACCUUGCAAGUCGAACGAUGAACCGCUUUCGGGCGGGGAUUAGUGGCGAACGGGUGAGUAACACGUGGGCAAUCUGCCCUGCACUCUGGGACAAGCCCUGGAAACGGGGUCUAAUACCGGAUAUGACCGUCUGCCGCAUGGUGGAUGGUGUAAAGCUCCGGCGGUGCAGGAUGAGCCCGCGGCCUAUCAGCUUGUUGGUGAGGUAGUGGCUCACCAAGGCGACGACGGGUAGCCGGCCUGAGAGGGCGACCGGCCACACUGGGACUGAGACACGGCCCAGACUCCUACGGGAGGCAGCAGUGGGGAAUAUUGCACAAUGGGCGAAAGCCUGAUGCAGCGACGCCGCGUGAGGGAUGACGGCCUUCGGGUUGUAAACCUCUUUCAGCAGGGAAGAAGCGAAAGUGACGGUACCUGCAGAAGAAGCGCCGGCUAACUACGUGCCAGCAGCCGCGGUAAUACGUAGGGCGCAAGCGUUGUCCGGAAUUAUUGGGCGUAAAGAGCUCGUAGGCGGCUUGUCACGUCGGUUGUGAAAGCCCGGGGCUUAACCCCGGGUCUGCAGUCGAUACGGGCAGGCUAGAGUUCGGUAGGGGAGAUCGGAAUUCCUGGUGUAGCGGUGAAAUGCGCAGAUAUCAGGAGGAACACCGGUGGCGAAGGCGGAUCUCUGGGCCGAUACUGACGCUGAGGAGCGAAAGCGUGGGGAGCGAACAGGAUUAGAUACCCUGGUAGUCCACGCCGUAAACGGUGGGCACUAGGUGUGGGCAACAUUCCACGUUGUCCGUGCCGCAGCUAACGCAUUAAGUGCCCCGCCUGGGGAGUACGGCCGCAAGGCUAAAACUCAAAGGAAUUGACGGGG